UACGUAGGGUGCAAGCGUUGUUCGGAUUCAUUGGGCGUAAAGGGUGUGUAGGUGGCGCGCUAAGUCGGGUGUGAAAUUUCGGAGCUUAACUCCGAAACUGCAUUCGAUACUGGCGUGCUUGAGGACUGGAGAGGAGACUGGAAUUUACGGUGUAGCAGUGAAAUGCGUAGAUAUCGUAAGGAAGACCAGUGGCGAAGGCGGGUCUCUGGACAGUUCCUGACACUGAGACACGAAGGCCAGGGGAGCAAACGGG
RNAcentral lists this ribosomal RNA (253 nucleotides) under uncultured bacterium. RNAcentral describes it as "partial 16S ribosomal RNA". It matches the Rfam family "Bacterial small subunit ribosomal RNA", at positions 524 to 776 of the family's 1533-position model. The record is from RNAcentral.